GGGGGAGAGAAGGGAUGUCAUAAUUGGGGUUUUGAAUAAGACGACCUUUUGAUUUUUCAUUUUUUUCAUUGAAAAAUGAAUAAAAAUGAGAGGUGUUAAGCUUUUUAUCAUCCUAGCGUCGAGCUAUUUUUCCACAGGACCUCCCCUACAGUAUCGUCACUGCAGUAGAGUUUAACCACCAAGUUCGGGAUGGAUUGGUGUGGUUCCUCUACGCCUAGGACACCAGAAUAUCGAACCAUGAAUGAAGAAAGGCAUGAGAGAAAAGCCUAUUAGCUAAUGAUUGUGAGGCUCCAAUUCUUGACUGGAGGGGACACCAAAGGCCUCUGCCCUUCCAUUCCUUGGAUGAAUAGAGAGGGAGGGCAAAGCUUUUGGUUUGGCUCCAAGU
Molecule: long non-coding RNA, 385 nt
Filed under: Olea europaea subsp. europaea
Lineage: Eukaryota; Viridiplantae; Streptophyta; Magnoliopsida; Lamiales; Oleaceae
Source: RNAcentral